Molecule: transfer RNA, 66 nt
Filed under: Cordylus tropidosternum
Lineage: Eukaryota; Metazoa; Chordata; Lepidosauria; Squamata; Cordylidae
Description: tRNA-Val
Rfam family: tRNA
About the family: Transfer RNA (tRNA) molecules are approximately 80 nucleotides in length. Their secondary structure includes four short double-helical elements and three loops (D, anti-codon, and T loops). Further hydrogen bonds mediate the characteristic L-shaped molecular structure. tRNAs have two regions of fundamental functional importance: the anti-codon, which is responsible for specific mRNA codon recognition, and the 3' end, to which the tRNAs corresponding amino acid is attached (by aminoacyl-tRNA synthetases). tRNAs cope with the degeneracy of the genetic code in two manners: having more than one tRNA (with a specific anti-codon) for a particular amino acid; and 'wobble' base-pairing, i.e. permitting non-standard base-pairing at the 3rd anti-codon position.
Source: RNAcentral
CAAAGAGUAGCUUAAACAAAGCACUCAACUUACAAUUGAGAGACGUUACCACCAUAACCUCUUUGU